Tetraodon nigroviridis (spotted green pufferfish) is the source of this 46-nucleotide non-coding RNA. The record is from Rfam. NCBI's taxonomy places the organism in Eukaryota, Metazoa, Chordata, Actinopteri, Tetraodontiformes, Tetraodontidae.
ACAACGGCUCUUUUAAGAGCCACCACAUGUGACCGAAAGAGCAUUU